RNAcentral lists this ribosomal RNA (478 nucleotides) under uncultured bacterium. Its description in RNAcentral is "bacterial SSU rRNA". It matches the Rfam family "Bacterial small subunit ribosomal RNA", at positions 28 to 518 of the family's 1533-position model. The record is from RNAcentral.
GACGAACGCUGGCGGCGUGCUUAACACAUGCAAGUCACGGGGGCCUAGCAAUAGGCAACCGGCGAACGGGUGCGUAACACGUGAGCAACCUGCCGCGCUCUGGGGGAUAGCCGGCCCAACGGCCGGGUAAUACCGCAUACGUUCUCCUGGGGGGAGUCCCCGGGAGAAGAAAUCUCCGGAGGAGCGCGAGGGGCUCGCGGCCUAUCAGCUAGUUGGCGAGGUAACGGCUCACCAAGGCAUGACGGGUAGCUGGUCUGAGAGGAUGGCCAGCCACAUUGGGACUGAGAGACGGCCCAGACUCCUACGGGAGGCAGCAGUGGGGAAUCUUGCGCAAUGGCCGAAAGGCUGACGCAGCGACGCCGCGUGUGGGAGGACGCUCUUCGGGUGUAACCACUGUUGCCCGGGACGAAACCGGAGCUUUAGCUCCGUUGACGGUACCGGGUGAGGAAGCGCCGGCUAACUCUGUGCCAGCCGCCGC